GAUGAACGCUGGCGGCGUGCCUAAUACAUGCAAGUCGAGCGAACGGACGAGAAGCUUGCUUCUCUGAUGUUAGCGGCGGACGGGUGAGUAACACGUGGAUAACCUACCUAUAAGACUGGGAUAACUUCGGGAAACCGUAGCUAAUACCGGAUAAUAUUUUGAACCGCAUGGUUCAAAAGUGAAAUACGGUCGUGCGGGCACUUAUAGAUGGAUCGGCGCUUGAUUAGCUAGUUGGGAAGGUAACGGCUUACUAAGGCAACGAUGCAUAGCCGACCUGAGAGGGGGAUGGGCCCGACGUGAACUGAGACACGGCCCAGACGCGUACGGGAGGCAGCAGUAGGGAAUCUUCCGCAAUGGGCGAAAGCAUGACGGAGCAACGCCGCGUGAGUGAUGAAGGUCUUCGGAUCGUAAAACUCUGUUAUUAGGGAAGAACAUAUGUGUAAGUAACUGUGAACAUCUUGACGGUACAUAAUCAGAAAGCCACGGCUAACUACGUG
RNAcentral lists this ribosomal RNA (497 nucleotides) under uncultured bacterium. RNAcentral's name for it is "partial 16S ribosomal RNA". It matches the Rfam family "Bacterial small subunit ribosomal RNA", at positions 28 to 507 of the family's 1533-position model. The record is from RNAcentral.